CCCUUAGACGUUCUGGGCCGCACGCGCGCUACACUGACGAAGGCAACGAGCUUUCCUUUACCGAAAGGUACGGGUAAUCUUUUGAAACUUCGUCGUGCUGGGGAUAGAUCCUUGCAAUUUUUGAUCUUAAACGAGGAAUUCCUAGUAAGCGCAAGUCAUCGACUUGCGUUGAUUACGUCCCUGCCCUUUGUACACACCGCCCGUCGCUACUACCGAUUGAAUGGUUUAGUGAGGCCUUCGGAUCCGCGACUCGUUUUGUGGAGAAGUUGGACAAACUCAGUCAUUUAGAGGAAGUAAAAGUCGUAACA
This 308-nucleotide ribosomal RNA is filed under the name uncultured eukaryote. RNAcentral's name for it is "partial 18S ribosomal RNA". It matches the Rfam family "Eukaryotic small subunit ribosomal RNA", at positions 1470 to 1796 of the family's 1831-position model. The record is from RNAcentral.